GACGAACGCUGGCGGCGUGCUUAACACAUGCAAGUCGAACGGAAAGGCCCUGCUUUUGUGGGGUGCUCGAGUGGCGAACGGGUGAGUAACACGUGAGUAACCUGCCCUUGACUUUGGGAUAACUUCAGGAAACUGGGGCUAAUACCGGAUAGGAGCUCCUGCUGCAUGGUGGGGGUUGGACAGUUUCGGCGGUUGGGGAUGGACUGGCGGCUUAUCAGCUUGUGGGUGGGGUAGUGGCUUACCAAGGCUUUGACGGGUAGUCGGCCUGAGAGGGUGACCGGCCACCAUGGGACUGAGAUACGGCGCAGACGCCUACGGUAGGCAGCAGUGGGGAAUAUGGCACAAUGAGCGGAAGCCUGAUGCAGCAACGCCGCGUGCGGGAUGACGGCCUUCGGGGUGUAAACCGCUUUCGCCUGUGACGAAGCGUGAGUGACGGUAAUGGGUGAAGAAGCACCGGCUAACUACGUG
This 468-nucleotide ribosomal RNA is filed under the name uncultured bacterium. Its description in RNAcentral is "partial 16S ribosomal RNA". It matches the Rfam family "Bacterial small subunit ribosomal RNA", at positions 28 to 507 of the family's 1533-position model. The record is from RNAcentral.